GAUGAACGCUGGCGGCGUGCCUAAUACAUGCAAGUCGAGCUAACAGACGAGGAGCUUGCUCCUCUGACGUUAGCGGCGGACGGGUGAGUAACACGUGGAUAACCUCCCUAUAAGACUGGGAUAACUUCGGGAAACCGGCGCUAAUACCGGAUAACAUGUUGAACCGCAUGGUUCAACAGUGAAAGACGGUCUUACUGUCACUUAUAGAUGGAUCCGCGCCGCAUUAGCUAGUUGGUAAGGUAACGGCUUACCAAGGCAACGAUGCGUAGCCGACCUGAGAGGGUGAUCGGCCACACUGGAACUGAGACACGGUCCAGACUCCUACGGGAGGCAGCAGUAGGGAAUCUUCCGCAAUGGGCGAAAGCCUGACGGAGCAACGCCGCGUGAGUGAAGAAGGUCUUCGGAUCGUAAAACUCUGUUAUUAGGGAAGAACAAAUGUGUAAGUAACUAUGCACGUCUUGACGGUACCUAAUCAGAAAGCCACGGCUAACUACGUG
This 497-nucleotide ribosomal RNA is filed under the name uncultured bacterium. RNAcentral's name for it is "partial 16S ribosomal RNA". It matches the Rfam family "Bacterial small subunit ribosomal RNA", at positions 28 to 507 of the family's 1533-position model. The record is from RNAcentral.